AAAACUUUCAACAACGGAUCUCUUGGUUCUCGCAUCGAUGAAGAACGCAGCAAAGCGCGAUAGGUAAUGCGAAUUGCACACGUGAGUCAUUGAAUCUUUGAACGCAUAUUGCGCUACUAGGUUCUCCUAGUAGCAUGCUUGUUGGAGCGCCGAUCUUUCUCUC
This 163-nucleotide ribosomal RNA is filed under the name Starmerella jinningensis. RNAcentral's name for it is "5.8S ribosomal RNA". It matches the Rfam family "5.8S ribosomal RNA". Rfam says of the family: 5.8S ribosomal RNA (5.8S rRNA) is a component of the large subunit of the eukaryotic ribosome. It is transcribed by RNA polymerase I as part of the 45S precursor that also contains 18S and 28S rRNA. Functionally, it is thought that 5.8S rRNA may be involved in ribosome translocation. Lineage: Eukaryota; Fungi; Ascomycota; Dipodascomycetes; Dipodascales; Trichomonascaceae. The record is from RNAcentral.